UAAACAUUUCAAAAGCUUUGCUUUUGAAGAUGACGAGCGGCGGACGGGUGAGUAAUGCCUGGGAAUUUGCCCAUUUGUGGGGGAUAACAGUUGGAAACGACUGCUAAUACCGCAUACGCCCUACGGGGGAAAGCAGGGGACCUUCGGGCCUUGCGCUGAUGGAUAAGCCCAGGUGGGAUUAGCUAGUAGGUGAGGUAAAGGCUCACCUAGGCGACGAUCCCUAGCUGGUCUGAGAGGAUGAUCAGCCACACUGGGACUGAGACACGGCCCAGACUCCUACGGGAGGCAGCAGUGGGGAAUAUUGCACAAUGGGGGAAACCCUGAUGCAGCCAUGCCGCGUGUGUGAAGAAGGCCUUCGGGUUGUAAAGCACUUUCAGCGAGGAGGAAAGGGUGUAAGUUAAUACCUUACAUCUGUGACGUUACUCGCAGAAGAAGCACCGGCUAACUCCGUGCCAGCAGCCGCGGUAAUACGGAGGGUGCGAGCGUUAAUCGGAAUUACUGGGCGUAAAGCGUGCGCAGGCGGUUUGUUAAGCGAGAUGUGAAAGCCCCGGGCUCAACCUGGGAACCGCAUUUCGAACUGGCAAACUAGAGUCUUGUAGAGGGGGGUAGAAUUCCAGGUGUAGCGGUGAAAUGCGUAGAGAUCUGGAGGAAUACCGGUGGCGAAGGCGGCCCCCUGGACAAAGACUGACGCUCAGGCACGAAAGCGUGGGGAGCAAACAGGAUUAGAUACCCUGGUAGUCCACGCCGUAAACGAUGUCUACUCGGAGUUUGGUGUCUUGAACACUGGGCUCUCAAGCUAACGCAUUAAGUAGACCGCCUGGGGAGUACGGCCGCAAGGUUAAAACUCAAUGAAUUGACGGGGCCCGCACAAGCGGUGGAGCAUGUGGUUUAAUUCGAUGCAACGCGAGACCUUACCUACUCUUGACAUCCAGAGACUUUCAGAGAUGGAUUGUGCUUCGGGACUCUGAGACAGUGCUGCAUGCUGUCGUCAGCUCGUGUGUGAAUGUGGUAGUCCCGCACGAGCGCACCCUAUCUACUGCAGCGGUCAUGCGACUUAGGAACUGCGUGAUACCGGAGAAGGUGGGACGACUCAGUCAUCAUGCUUACAGUAGGCUACACUGCUCAAUGUCAGUACAAGGUGCAGCCAGGGACUAUCCUAACUGACUGAAUUCCGAAUUGAAUCGCACCUGACUCCUUGAUCCGAUC
RNAcentral lists this ribosomal RNA (1206 nucleotides) under Shewanella algae. RNAcentral's name for it is "bacterial SSU rRNA". It matches the Rfam family "Bacterial small subunit ribosomal RNA", at positions 63 to 1299 of the family's 1533-position model. Lineage: Bacteria; Pseudomonadati; Pseudomonadota; Gammaproteobacteria; Alteromonadales; Shewanellaceae. The record is from RNAcentral.